AUAGCAACAUGAUUUCUUCCCUCUCCAUAAGACCUCCUUCUUUCUUUCCUAUCCACGGCAGCAAGGGUUCUUCCCUCUCCAUAGCACCACCUUCUUUCUUUCCUCUCAAUAGCAGUAAGGUUUCUUCCCUCUCUACAGCAAGCAAGGAAGAGGGAACCCGAGAUAUCAAGUUCCUCCUCCCGAUUCUGUACUUUUAAGAUUCACUUCGGACUUCCUAGACCACGCGGAAGUCGCCGAUCUGACAACGGGGAAUGACGGGGAGCAAGCAGUCGGUGUCAUUUAAAUCAACAGAAUACAUUUCACGACGACGACAGCGUCGAAGACUAUUUACAUAGGCGACGAAGUCUUCGAUUGUGGCUCGCUCUACUAAACUGGGAUUCGUAGACUACUGGUGGAAGCCACUGGUUUAAAUCAAGUACCACUUGCCCACCUCUGUAAUCGCAGCAUUGCGGAUCAUGGAUCUGUAAAAAGGCUCGCUCUACUAAAUUGGUAGUUAAUUACUUUCUAGCAUUUCGAGUUUGAAAUCGUCUUCUCUAACCAAUUCGAUCCUGCAACGCCAUCAACUCGUCAACCAGGCAUAUUCUACUGUUGGUACACCAGACUAUAUUGCUCCAGAGGUUCUACUUAAGAAGGGUUAUGGAAUGGAGUGUGAUUGUGGGGUCAAAUUAUACAAUGCAUCAAGGGGUAUUUCAAAAGGACCUGGUUUUAAACAAUUGACGGGUAAUCUAAAAUAAAAAGGUGGUGUUGAAUGUGGAUAUUGUGAAAUGUGGUACAUGAAAGAGAUAGUUUUGGAUAAAUAUCCCCAAUUGGAGAUGAAGUUUGCAACAUCAAAAAACAAACAAUAUUACAAUCAAUCUCAGUAUGAUGAAGUCAGAAGUGCAUGGAGCAAAUUCGUUUACUUCUAUAUAGGUGCUUAAGUGUAGGUUGUGAUAUAAAUUUUGGAUUGUAUUUAAAGAUUUAUAGAUACAAAAACUUUUGGGUUACAGUUAAACAUGUCUUUUAUAAAUACA
This is a long non-coding RNA of Zingiber officinale, 1010 nucleotides long. RefSeq lists it as uncharacterized. The transcript has 7 exons. The record is from RefSeq and is a predicted model, not a curated record. NCBI's taxonomy places the organism in Eukaryota, Viridiplantae, Streptophyta, Magnoliopsida, Zingiberales, Zingiberaceae.